This 1387-nucleotide ribosomal RNA is filed under the name Microbacterium sp. Its description in RNAcentral is "bacterial SSU rRNA". It matches the Rfam family "Bacterial small subunit ribosomal RNA". The record is from RNAcentral. Lineage: Bacteria; Bacillati; Actinomycetota; Actinomycetes; Micrococcales; Microbacteriaceae.
UGCAGUCGACGAUGAAGCCCAGCUUGCUGGGUGGAUUAGUGGCGAACGGGUGAGUAACACGUGAGCAACCUGCCCCUGACUCUGGGAUAAGCGCUGGAAACGGCGUCUAAUACUGGAUACGAACAAGAAUCGCAUGGUUACUUGUUGGAAAGAUUUUUCGGUUGGGGAUGGGCUCGCGGCCUAUCAGCUUGUUGGUGAGGUAAUGGCUCACCAAGGCGUCGACGGGUAGCCGGCCUGAGAGGGUGACCGGCCACACUGGGACUGAGACACGGCCCAGACUCCUACGGGAGGCAGCAGUGGGGAAUAUUGCACAAUGGGCGCAAGCCUGAUGCAGCAACGCCGCGUGAGGGAUGACGGCCUUCGGGUUGUAAACCUCUUUUAGCAGGGAAGAAGCGAGAGUGACGGUACCUGCAGAAAAAGCACCGGCUAACUACGUGCCAGCAGCCGCGGUAAUACGUAGGGUGCAAGCGUUAUCCGGAAUUAUUGGGCGUAAAGAGCUCGUAGGCGGUUUGUCGCGUCUGCUGUGAAAUCUGGGGGCUCAACCCCCAGCCUGCAGUGGGUACGGGCAGACUAGAGUGCGGUAGGGGAGAUUGGAAUUCCUGGUGUAGCGGUGGAAUGCGCAGAUAUCAGGAGGAACACCGAUGGCGAAGGCAGAUCUCUGGGCCGUAACUGACGCUGAGGAGCGAAAGGGUGGGGAGCAAACAGGCUUAGAUACCCUGGUAGUCCACCCCGUAAACGUUGGGAACUAGUUGUGGGGUCCAUUCCACGGAUUCCGUGACGCAGCUAACGCAUUAAGUUCCCCGCCUGGGGAGUACGGCCGCAAGGCUAAAACUCAAAGGAAUUGACGGGGACCCGCACAAGCGGCGGAGCAUGCGGAUUAAUUCGAUGCAACGCGAAGAACCUUACCAAGGCUUGACAUAUACGAGAACGGGCCAGAAAUGGUCAACUCUUUGGACACUCGUAAACAGGUGGUGCAUGGUUGUCGUCAGCUCGUGUCGUGAGAUGUUGGGUUAAGUCCCGCAACGAGCGCAACCCUCGUUCUAUGUUGCCAGCACGUAAUGGUGGGAACUCAUGGGAUACUGCCGGGGUCAACUCGGAGGAAGGUGGGGAUGACGUCAAAUCAUCAUGCCCCUUAUGUCUUGGGCUUCACGCAUGCUACAAUGGCCGGUACAAUGGGCUGCAAUACCGUGAGGUGGAGCGAAUCCCAAAAAGCCGGUCCCAGUUCGGAUUGAGGUCUGCAACUCGACCUCAUGAAGUCGGAGUCGCUAGUAAUCGCAGAUCAGCAACGCUGCGGUGAAUACGUUCCCGGGUCUUGUACACACCGCCCGUCAAGUCAUGAAAGUCGGUAACACCUGAAGCCGGUGGCCUAACCCCUCGGGGAGGGAGC